CGCAAUGGGCGAAAGUCUGACGGAGCGACGCCGCGUGGAGGAUGAAGUACUUCGGUACGUAAACUCCUUUUGCCAGGGAAAAAGUUAUUGAUGGUACCUGGAGAAUAAGAGGUUGCUAAACUCGUGCCAGCAGCAGCGGUAAUACGAGUGCCUCAAGCGUUAUCCGGAAUUAUUGGGCGUAAAGGGUGUGUAGGCGGCUGUGUUAGUCUCUUGUAAAAUUCCUCGGCUCAACCGAGGGCUCGCAAGAGAAACGGCACGGCUAAGAGUUUGGAAGGGGUCUCUGGAACUCAUGGUGUAGCGGUGAAAUGCGUUGAUAUCAUGGGGAACACCAAAAGCGAAAGCAGGAGACUGGUCCAUUACUGAUGCUGAAACACGAAAGCGU
This 382-nucleotide ribosomal RNA is filed under the name uncultured organism. RNAcentral describes it as "bacterial SSU rRNA". It matches the Rfam family "Bacterial small subunit ribosomal RNA", at positions 367 to 762 of the family's 1533-position model. The record is from RNAcentral.